GGUAAAAUGGCUGAGUAGGCAUUAGACUGUAAAUCUAAAGACGAGGGUGUGAGUCCCUCUUUUACCA
RNAcentral lists this transfer RNA (67 nucleotides) under Rhynchocyon chrysopygus (golden-rumped elephant shrew). Its description in RNAcentral is "tRNA-Tyr". It matches the Rfam family "tRNA". Rfam says of the family: Transfer RNA (tRNA) molecules are approximately 80 nucleotides in length. Their secondary structure includes four short double-helical elements and three loops (D, anti-codon, and T loops). Lineage: Eukaryota; Metazoa; Chordata; Mammalia; Macroscelidea; Macroscelididae. RNAcentral also lists the same sequence under 4 other names. The record is from RNAcentral.